RNAcentral lists this long non-coding RNA (476 nucleotides) under Prunus persica (peach). RNAcentral describes it as "long non-coding RNA (PPER_LNC003303)". The record is from RNAcentral. Lineage: Eukaryota; Viridiplantae; Streptophyta; Magnoliopsida; Rosales; Rosaceae.
CAUGAUUAGCUUGGACUUGCUAUGAGGAUGUGGAUAAUCUAACGGUUGAGUUGAAUCAAGAUAUAGCUUGGCAUGUCAUGAGGGUUCACUCUUCCGGCAGCAUGAAAAUAGAGCUUGUGUUAUUUUCCAGGAGCAUAUCAUAUAGGAUUUUGGAAUUGGUAUGGUUGUGGACUGAAUUUGCGUUGUUUCUAUAGCAUGACCCUCCUUCAACUCUUUCUUCUCUCUUCAAGAUUCAAACCCCGUGGGUACUGUGCAUCAGUACAUAAGUCAUAUUUCAGAAGCUCGGAUCAGAAAACUUCCUUGAUGAAAGUUGUUCAUCUGCUCGAUUACUGUAGCCUGUAAAAUUUGUAGAAUUGUUUGAAUUUUUCUGAUACCUCAAGGCUGGACUGCAACUUCUGCAUUCAUCCGUGGCUGGUGAGUUUCUGCAGAUUCUGCUUCUGCAUGUGACUUUAAUUUAUGAUGCUUGGAUGAUUGCG